This 1004-nucleotide long non-coding RNA is filed under the name Helianthus annuus (common sunflower). RNAcentral describes it as "hypothetical non coding rna". Lineage: Eukaryota; Viridiplantae; Streptophyta; Magnoliopsida; Asterales; Asteraceae. The record is from RNAcentral.
CUUCAUUCGCGACCUAGGGUUUCUGCAACUUCAAUCUUAUUUCUGCCUCUCCUUCAUCAUUGCAUCUCUCACGAUCUCAAAUCGUCAUCAACAAGUGUUUUGCAAUCGUUCGUAAUCUAAGGUUUCUCCAUCUUCAAUCAUACAUAUGUUCUGAUAAUCAAACGUCUUCAUCACAAAGGCAUGUUGUUCUUCCUCGGGAAGUUGUGAAGGUAUUUAUAAAGACUCGGCUUCUAUCCUAAGUAUAUUGUAGAUUUUCAUAUGUUAUUAAGGUAUUUUUUGUGAAGGUAUUUAUAAAGAAUCCGCUUCUAUCUGUGAAGGUAUUUAUAAAUCUUUUAUAUACAAAGAAAUAAUAUAUUUACCUGUGAUAUUUGAUGGGAGAACUACAGCCUUCACUGCAGUAUGUGACACAAAUCUCUGGUAUAUUAUGUCAUUUGUUAUCUCUUUUUACAGGCUUUGAUCCGUGUGUGAAGAUGAUGGCUAUGAUGGCAUGUGUGAAGAUGAUGAAAACAUAGAUCACAUAAAAUUCAUGUGUGUUGUUCCAGGCGUUCAACAAAGUCUGCUAUUAAUUUGUUAUUGGAUUUAGAAUUUGAUUUUGAUUUUGAUGUUUGUUUGUGACUGAAUUUGAUUUUGUUUAUGUAGGAUUGCAUUGAGACGACAUCGGCAAUUAGAGCUACAAUUUUACUUACUUUUAGGUUUUUGUAUUUUAGUCUUUCCCUUCUUAUUAUGUUUAUUUGAUGACUUCUAAUAUGACGUGUGGUAUUUUAAUUUGUUGAUAAGGCUGGUGUCCCCAUCAGGGAUCCACGCGUUGCCUCUGAAACGCUUUGUGGCAUCAUGUUCGCACAUUAGAAAGCAAGAGACGAUAGAGAAGAUACAAAGAUAGAAGAAGAGUAGUGCCGGAGACCGCUCUACCUUAUAAGAUUGCGGGACAGUGUUAGGAGAUUUUUGAACUAUGCGUCGUUGUUCAGGUUUGCUUCCCAGUUCGGCCGUUAUUUUUGGUACUCCAG